UACGUAGGGUGCGAGCGUUAAUCGGAAUUAUUGGGCGUAAAGAGCUCGUAGGCGGUUCAGUAAGUCGGGUGUGAAAACUUUGGGCUUAACCCAAAGCGUGCAUCCGAUACUGCUGUGACUUGAGUUCGGUAGGGGAGUGGGGAAUUCCUAGUGUAGCGGUGAAAUGCGCAGAUAUUAGGAGGAACACCGGUGGCGAAGGCGCCACUCUGGGCCGAAACUGACGCUGAGGAGCGAAAGCAUGGGUAGCAAACAGG
Molecule: ribosomal RNA, 254 nt
Filed under: uncultured bacterium
Lineage: Bacteria
Description: partial 16S ribosomal RNA
Rfam family: Bacterial small subunit ribosomal RNA
Source: RNAcentral